GCGCUCUUAGUUCAAUUCGGUAGAACAUGGGUCUCCAAACCCAAUGUCGUAGGUUCAAAUCCUACAGAGAGUG
This is a transfer RNA of Gossypium raimondii (Peruvian cotton), 73 nucleotides long. It matches the Rfam family "tRNA". From Rfam's summary of the family: Transfer RNA (tRNA) molecules are approximately 80 nucleotides in length. Their secondary structure includes four short double-helical elements and three loops (D, anti-codon, and T loops). NCBI's taxonomy places the organism in Eukaryota, Viridiplantae, Streptophyta, Magnoliopsida, Malvales, Malvaceae. The record is from Rfam.